GCCGAUGUAGCUCAGCUGGCUAGAGCAGCUGAUUUGUAAUCAGCAGGUCGUGGGUUCGAGUCCCUCCAUCGCUC
RNAcentral lists this transfer RNA (74 nucleotides) under Algibacter lectus. Its description in RNAcentral is "tRNA-Thr". It matches the Rfam family "tRNA". From Rfam's summary of the family: Transfer RNA (tRNA) molecules are approximately 80 nucleotides in length. Their secondary structure includes four short double-helical elements and three loops (D, anti-codon, and T loops). Further hydrogen bonds mediate the characteristic L-shaped molecular structure. tRNAs have two regions of fundamental functional importance: the anti-codon, which is responsible for specific mRNA codon recognition, and the 3' end, to which the tRNAs corresponding amino acid is attached (by aminoacyl-tRNA synthetases). tRNAs cope with the degeneracy of the genetic code in two manners: having more than one tRNA (with a specific anti-codon) for a particular amino acid; and 'wobble' base-pairing, i.e. permitting non-standard base-pairing at the 3rd anti-codon position. Lineage: Bacteria; Pseudomonadati; Bacteroidota; Flavobacteriia; Flavobacteriales; Flavobacteriaceae. The record is from RNAcentral.